AUGCAUCUAAUCAAAAAAUCUUUUCUUAUUCGUCUUUUUCUAUCUUCCGACUCAUCUCCACUAUACCCCUCGUCUUCUAAUUCCUUCCAUUCGACCAAACAAUUCUCUAUAAUAAUUCACAAAUCCUCUGCUAAUUGUUCUCAAAUAGCACCUGCUCUUGUUGCAAUUUCCCGAUUUCAAAAUGUUGCAAAGCCUGGGGUAGAAAAAAAGGGAGAAAUGUUGUGGUUACAGGAUGCAAUUUCCUCUUCAAAUAAACCUCGUAAUCGUAAAAUGGGGUUUUUAGUGCGGGGCCUAGCAAAAGAGAAAUCACCGUAUACUAGGCCCUCCAACUUCUUAAGAUGUUUAUCUAAAAGUUUCACGAUAUAA
This 366-nucleotide ribosomal RNA is filed under the name Triticum aestivum (bread wheat). RNAcentral's name for it is "partial small subunit ribosomal RNA". The record is from RNAcentral. Lineage: Eukaryota; Viridiplantae; Streptophyta; Magnoliopsida; Poales; Poaceae.